AUUCAGAAUUCCACCAUAGAAGUCAAUCACAGCAGCUAUUUGGUUUCCCAAAGUCUUGCCUUCAAUAACAACUUCAUUCUAGGUAUAACAAGAGCUAACUAAGCAAUGAAAAAGUACCAGGAUAAGAUCCAGAAGGUGAAGAAAUCUUAGAGAGAUUUUAUCCGCAUUCCUCUACCCGGAUCUUUGUGAUGUGGAGUGAUGAAUACUGAAUUUCUGAAAACUUUCUUCUUCUGCUUGGCUCCUUUCAAGUAUAACUUCAGGUCUUUUAUCUGGGUUUUCUCAUCUCUAUGGAAUCUGCAAACCAGAAUUUAAAAAGCCAGAAACUCUGGGACUAUAUGAAGAACACAGUCUGAGUGAGUGCCAAGCAUACAUAAGUAAGAGAGUCAAAUCUGCAUCCAUGAAUGACUUCUGUUAAAUCACUUAUCUUCAACCAACAGGUUUCCUCAUUAUUAAGUUGUGGAAAGUAACUUUUGCCUCUUACAUCACCAGAAUAUUGUAAGGGUGUUGCAAUGAAAUAUACAUAAGCUUCCUUUGAGAGAAGAAAUUUGUGAAACAUAAAUUCAUUACACAAACCGCUUUCCAUUAGAAGAGUUGAAACAGGAUACAGUCCUGACUAAGCCACAGUUCUAACAAGCAGAGAUCACUGGUGCAGGCCCACAGGAAGCAUGUUUCUUUAGCCCAUUAGAAACUAUUUACUAUUUUCAUACAAAACUUUUACCACAAAAGGUACACAAAUUAUUAUAUAUGAUAGGGUAAAGGUUUGUGGUUAAAAUCUCCUGUAACUUAAAACUAACCAAGCUUAAUGUACAUGGAAAGUUUCUUCCAUUAAUAGGUUAUAGAAACCAUUCUCUAAAAAGCUUAGAAUUGUAUUUUUUAACUUAGCUGCCUUAGAAGCUGAAACAAAACUGCACUGAAUUGACAUACUAUAAAAAAGAAUUCUAUAAAUUAGUAAACAAGGUAAAUUUUCUUAAUUUGCUAUAGUUGAUAUAGUUCUGUAACA
Non-coding RNA from Microcebus murinus (gray mouse lemur), 1000 nucleotides. The record is from RefSeq and is a predicted model, not a curated record. Lineage: Eukaryota; Metazoa; Chordata; Mammalia; Primates; Cheirogaleidae.